GGGGCGAAGAUAAGACGGAUUAGCGGCGGACGGGUGAGUAACACGUGAGUAACCUGCCUUUUACACAGGGAUAGCCUCGGGAAACCGGGAUUAAAACCUGAUGAAACUAUCAAAUCACAUGAUUAAGAAAGUUAAAACUCCGGUGGUAAAAGAUGGACUCGCGUCCCAUUAGCUAGUUGGUGAAGGUAACGGCCCACCAAGGCAACGAUGGGUAGCCGGCCUGAGAGGGUGAACGGCCACAUUGGAACUGAGAAACGGUCCAAACUCCUACGGGAGGCAGCAGUGGGGAAUAUUGCACAAUGGGGGAAACCCUGAUGCAGCGACGCCGCGUGAGCGAAGAAGGCCUUCGGGUCGUAAAGCUCUUUUAUAUGGGAAGAUAAUGACGGU
RNAcentral lists this ribosomal RNA (387 nucleotides) under uncultured Peptoniphilus sp. RNAcentral's name for it is "bacterial SSU rRNA". It matches the Rfam family "Bacterial small subunit ribosomal RNA", at positions 82 to 458 of the family's 1533-position model. Lineage: Bacteria; Bacillati; Bacillota; Tissierellia; Tissierellales; Peptoniphilaceae. The record is from RNAcentral.